Molecule: ribosomal RNA, 707 nt
Filed under: uncultured bacterium
Lineage: Bacteria
Description: bacterial SSU rRNA
Rfam family: Bacterial small subunit ribosomal RNA
Source: RNAcentral
UUGGCAUGGAGGAACUCUGACCAUCGACGCCGCGUGAGGGAUGAAGGCUUCGGGUUGUAACCUCUUUCAGCAGGGAAUAAGCGAAAGUGAAGGUACCUGCAGAAGAAGCACCGGCUAACUACGUGCCAGCAGCCGCGGUAAUACGUAGGGUGCAAGCGUUGUCCGGAAUUAUUGGGCGUAAAGAGCUCGUAGGCGGUUUGUCGCGUCUGCUGUGAAAAUCCGAGGCUCAACCUCGACCUGCAGUGGGUACGGGCAAACUAGAGUGCGGUAGGGGAGAAGGGAAUUCCUGGUGUAGCGGUGGAAUGCGCAGAUAUCAGGAGGAACACCAAUGGCGAAGGCACUUCUCUGGGCCGUAACUGACGCUGAGGAGCGAAAGCGUGGGGAGCGAACAGGAUUAGAUACCCUGGUAGUCCACGCCGUAAACGGUGGGUGCUAGUUGUGGGUCACAUUCCACGUGAUCCGUGACGCAGCUAACGCAUUAAGCACCCCGCCUGGGGAGUACGGUCGCAAGACUAAAACUCAAAGGAAUUGACGGGGGCCCGCACAAGCAGCGGAGCAUGCGGAUUAAUUCGAUGCAACGCGAAGAACCUUACCAAGACUUGACAUAUAGAGGAAACCUGCAGAAAUGUAGGCCCUAGCAAUAGCCGUUAUACAGGUGGUGCAUGGUUGUCGUCAGCUCGUGUCGUGAGAUGUUGGGUUAAGUCCCG